RNAcentral lists this ribosomal RNA (875 nucleotides) under uncultured bacterium. RNAcentral's name for it is "partial 16S ribosomal RNA". It matches the Rfam family "Bacterial small subunit ribosomal RNA", at positions 8 to 894 of the family's 1533-position model. The record is from RNAcentral.
ANAGUUUGAUCCUGGCUCANAAUCNACGCUGGCGGCGUGCCUCAGACAUGCAAGUCGAACGAUUAAAGCUCUCUUCGGAGAGUGUAUANAGUGGCGCACGGGUGAGUAACACGUAAGUAAUCUACCUUUGAGUGGGGAAUAACAGUCGGAAACGACUGCUAAUACCGCAUAAUGCAGCGGCAUCGCAAGAUGACAGUUGUUAAAGAUUUAUCGCUUGAAGAGGAGCUUGCGGCAGAUUAGCUAGUUGGUGAGGUAAUGGCUUACCAAGGCUACGAUCUGUAACCGGUCUAAGAGGACGGUCGGUCACACUGACACUGAAUAACGGGUCNNACUCCUACGGGAGGCAGCAGUCGGGAAUUUUGGGCAAUGGGCGAAAGCCUGACCCAGCAACGCCGCGUGAAGAAUGAAGUAUUUCGGUAUGUAAACUUCGAAAGAAUGGGAAGAAUCAAUGACGGUACCAUUUAUAAGGUCCGGCUAACUACGUGCCAGCAGCCGCGGUAAUACGUAGGGACCAAGCGUUGUUCGGAUUUACUGGGCGUAAAGGNNNNNNAGGCGGCGUGACAAGUCACUUGUGAAAUCUCCGAGCUUAACUCGGAACGGCCAAGUGAAACUGUUGUGCUAGAGUGCAGAAGGGGCAAUCGGAAUUCUUGGUGUANCGGUGAAAUGCGUAGAUAUCAAGANGAACACCUGANGUGAAGACGGGUUGCUGGGCUGACACUGACGCUGANGCGCGAAAGCCANGGGAGCAAACGGGAUUAGAUACCCCGGUAGUCCUGGCCCUAAACGAUGAAUACUUGGUGUCUGGAGNAAUUUGUGCUCCGGGUGNCGUCGCUAACGUUUUUAGUAUUCCCNCNUGGGGAGUACNCUCGCAAGAG